UCCGGCUCUCCGCAGGGGAAUCUCCACUCACUGCUUCCCCUAAUAUCCUCCCUUUACCACAUCAUGGGGGUUUACAGGAGAUCCCAGAGACUCGCUCGGAAAGGCUGCUAUACCAAACAUUAUUACUUAACUACAAAGAAAGAAAAGACUAUAGUAGUCACUAGACUGACUAUAGUAGUCCGUCCGGCUGCUCUUGCUUAAAUCAUUACUCUUCAUUCUCCCGUGCUCUAGCAAUUGCGCUCCCUAGACCACUACCAUUUAGUUAGGUAGGGACAAUCAAUCCAUAGUUACGGGAAUAACGGAAUGCAUGGGGAUAAAAAAAAUAGAAAAAUGCAGAUUUUCUAUGAAAUCCUUUCUUUCCAUAGAUGUAUCUGGUCUGAGACGGUACAGUACUCUACGAGAGGAAUGCAAUGGGAUGGAUGGUAGAGGGCUGCCUGCGCCCAAAAGCGAUGAUUCACUUGUCCCCUUGUCUAUAGGGACCUUGUGGCAUACAACCGCCACGACUCCUGCGUUAUAGCCGCCCCUUUCUCUCUUUCUUUUGACUGCCUCGUGGACGGACGAAAGAAGGGAAGUUACAGAAGGGGGCAGUGAAGGCUCGCCAAGUAGACAGCAAGCCCCCACCCCGUCAGUCCUGUGUUGCCGUAGCGUGCCCUACUUCAAUAAGGUAUUACCUC
This 674-nucleotide ribosomal RNA is filed under the name Triticum aestivum (bread wheat). Its description in RNAcentral is "partial small subunit ribosomal RNA". The record is from RNAcentral. Lineage: Eukaryota; Viridiplantae; Streptophyta; Magnoliopsida; Poales; Poaceae.